AUUGAACGCUGGCGGCAGGCUUAACACACGCAAGUCGAGCGGUAACAGAGAGAAGCUUGCUUCUCUGCUGACGAGCGGCGGACGGGUGAGUAAUGCCUAGGAAUCUGCCUAGUAGUGGGGGAUAACUUGCCGAAAGGUAAGCUAAUACCGCAUACGUCCUACGGGAGAAAGGAGGGGACCUUCGGGCCUUUCGCUAUUAGAUGAGCCUAGGUCGGAUUAGUUAGUUGGUGAGGUAAUGGCUCACCAAGACCGCGAUCCGUAACUGGUCUGAGAGGAUGAUCGGUCACACUGGAACUGAGACACGGUCCAGACUCCUACGGGAGGCAGCAGUGGGGAAUAUUGGACAAUGGGGGGAACCCUGAUCCAGCCAUGCCGCGUGUGUGAAGAAGGUCUUAGGAUUGUAAAGCACUUUAAGUUGGGAGGAAGAGCAGUUAACUAAUAUUUGACUGUUUUGACGUUACCGACAGAAUAAGCACCGGCUAACUUCGUGCCAGCCGCCGCGGUAA
This 506-nucleotide ribosomal RNA is filed under the name uncultured bacterium. Its description in RNAcentral is "partial 16S ribosomal RNA". It matches the Rfam family "Bacterial small subunit ribosomal RNA", at positions 30 to 523 of the family's 1533-position model. The record is from RNAcentral.